Molecule: long non-coding RNA, 569 nt
Filed under: Homo sapiens (human)
Lineage: Eukaryota; Metazoa; Chordata; Mammalia; Primates; Hominidae
Description: non-protein coding lnc-ZCCHC17-9:1
Source: RNAcentral
GUAAUCCUACUUUAUACAUUUUAAACAUUAUUCUGAGAAGUAGUCCACAUGGUUCACUUAUUAAGAAGUUCACGGCACACACAAAAACAAACAAAAAAGAAUUAGAAACUCCUGCUCUUAUAAAUAAACCUUACAAGGGUUAAAUUCAGAGUGAUUAACAGUGACCAGACAACCAACUGACUCAUCAAAAUCCCAUGUCACAGCUAACAAGAACUAAGUUUGCAAUGAAUUAAAUGAAAAUUACCUUUUCCCUAUUUGCAGGCUGCUCCAUGUCAUGUAUCUCAUUAUAGGCUGAUAAUAAGUUUGAUGAAACCAGCUUAUUACACCAAAUCAAAGCCAAGAUUGAAAGAAAAUAUAACAAAAGAGAGAAUUACUUAUUUUGUCAACCUCCAAACCAGAUUCCUAUUCUAAAAAAUCACAAAUAAAGCAAACCUACCAUUUGCAGCAAACUCUAAACCAAGAAAAAUGAUCACCUUUGUUGCUUAUUUCAGAAAGCCAAGAUAAAAAGAGCAGAAUGUGCAGAAAAGUAUGUGCUGCACUAGACCUCUGGUCCAACCCUCACAAUCAUC